AUGGCGACCGGCGCACGGGUGCGUAACGCGUAUGCAACCUACCUGUAACAGGGGGAUAACACUGAGAAAUCGGUACUAAUACCGCAUAACACUAUGAGAGGCAUCUCUUGUGGUUGAAAGUUUCGGCGGUUACAGAUGGGCACGCGUUGUAUUAGCUGGUUGGUAAGGUAACGGCUUACCAAGGCGACGAUACAUAGGGGGACUGAGAGGUUAACCCCCCACAUUGGUACUGAGACACGGACCAAACUCCUACGGAAGGCAGCAG
This 265-nucleotide ribosomal RNA is filed under the name uncultured bacterium. RNAcentral describes it as "partial 16S ribosomal RNA". It matches the Rfam family "Bacterial small subunit ribosomal RNA", at positions 88 to 354 of the family's 1533-position model. The record is from RNAcentral.